Long non-coding RNA from Oxyura jamaicensis (ruddy duck), 1048 nucleotides. RefSeq lists it as uncharacterized. The transcript is spliced from 2 exons. The record is from RefSeq and is a predicted model, not a curated record. Lineage: Eukaryota; Metazoa; Chordata; Aves; Anseriformes; Anatidae.
GUUCUACAGGAUGAAACCUUCACUAGAAGAACACAUUUCAUGAUAAAUAGAAGGUACGCAGAUACAACAUAACUCCCUGGGAGCCAACCUUCAAUGUUGACCCAGGAAAAAAAAUCUCCAGUUCUGGAUUCCAUCAGGCACAUGUGUAUAUUUCUCCUCAAAUAUCGGAAGAUUUGAUGAGGAUUAAAUCUCAGUCCAUCUUUAAAGACUUGGUUCCCCUGCUGUGGGCUUCAGCUGCCAUUAAAGCACAGAUUCUAGUUAAAAUUGAAGUUCAAAAAGCUGUUACACUGCAGAGAAUUCAUCACUAGGAGAAGCUGCAUUGCUGGUACUAGUGGGAGUAGAGAACUGACAGCUCCUACAGUAAAGAACUGUAUUUUUGAGCAGCAGAACUUGAGGAUUUGCUGGAAAAUUACUCCUAUUUCUGUUGCACCCUUAGGAUGUAACCAGAAAUCAUGUGCAAGUCUUUCAGUCUGGGAGUUUCUGCUUCUGUAGACUGGUCCUGAGAGCUGAAUAGUGCAAGGAAGGAGCAGAGUCUGUAGGGAGACUUUCCAGAGCUGCCGCCCACUUGGCUGCAGCUCAGAUUGGGAUAUCAAUGCAAUUGAUGAAGCUUGACAUUUUAAUUGUCUUUUGUUUGCAGAACUAAAUUAGGUUAUGAAGAACAAUGAUCAGUGGCCGUGAUUAAAAGUUUGAAAUGUGCCAAGUAUCCUGAGAUUUGUACUAGAUUGUGAGUGUACAUUGUAUGUAAGUGCUAGGUUUGAAGUGGCUGUUAGCAAAUAGGGGCCAAGAAAACAACUGAGAUUGUCAAAGCCAAAUGAAAAUGCUUUUCCUCCUCCACAUUGUCCCUGAAGAGCUACUGUGUUAGAAUUUGGUUUCCAAAGUUAUCACUAAUUUGUGAACUAGCAGGAUUUUAAUUCUGCUUUAAGUGGAAUCAAUGCAACUGUAAUGCUAGAGUCUCUAGUGGCACUUCUGUAAUGAUAUCUCUAUAUUAUAUUUGACUUGCACCAUAGCAGCAAAUGAUUUAAAUGGAUAUUGCAUGAAUGUAAAAGAA